This 435-nucleotide ribosomal RNA is filed under the name uncultured bacterium. RNAcentral's name for it is "bacterial SSU rRNA". It matches the Rfam family "Bacterial small subunit ribosomal RNA", at positions 355 to 796 of the family's 1533-position model. The record is from RNAcentral.
UCGAGGAUCUUCGGCAAUGGGCGCAAGCCUGACCGAGCGACGCCGCGUGCGCGAUGAAGGCCUUCGGGUUGUAAAGCGCUGUCGAGGGGGAGGAAGACCCGCAAGGGUUUGACCUAUCCCUGGAGGAAGGACGGGCUAAGUUCGUGCCAGCAGCCGCGGUAAGACGAACCGUCCUAACGUUGUUCGGAUUCACUGGGCUUAAAGGGCGCGUAGGCGGGCUGCCAAGUCCGGGGUGAAAUCUUUCGGCUCAACCGGAAAAGUGCCUUGGAAACUGACAGCCUCGAGGGGGGUAGGGGCCUGUGGAACUUCGGGUGGAGCGGUGAAAUGCGUUGAUAUCCGAAGGAACGCCGGUGGCGAAAGCGACGGGCUGGACCCCUUCUGACGCUGAGGCGCGAAAGCCAGGGGAGCAAACGGGAUUAGAUACCCCUGUAGUCC